AUUGAACGCUGGCGGAAUGCUUUACACAUGCAAGUCGAACGGUAGAGGGGGCAACCCCUCGAGAGUGGCGAACGGGUGAGUAAUAUAUCGGAACGUGCCCAGUCGUGGGGGAUAACGUAGCGAACGUUACGCUAAUACCGCAUACGAUCUAAGGAUGAAAGCGGGGGAUCGCAAGACCCCGCCCGAUUGGAGCGGCCGAUAUCAGAUUAGGUAGUUGGUGGGGUAAAGGCUCACCAAGCCAACGAUCUGUAGCUGGUCUGAGAGGACGACCAGCCACACUGGAACUGAGACACGGUCCAGACUCCUACGGGGGGCAGCAGUGGGGAAUUUUGGACAAUGGACGCAAGUCUGAUCCAGCCAUUCCGCGUGCAGGAUGAAGGCCCUCGGGUUGUAAACUGCUUUUGUACGGAACGAAAAGGUCUCUCUUAAUACGGGGGGCUCAUGACGGUACCGUAAGAAUAAGCACCGGCUAACUACGUGCCAGCCGCCGCCGUAA
Molecule: ribosomal RNA, 496 nt
Filed under: uncultured bacterium
Lineage: Bacteria
Description: partial 16S ribosomal RNA
Rfam family: Bacterial small subunit ribosomal RNA
Source: RNAcentral